RNAcentral lists this ribosomal RNA (623 nucleotides) under uncultured bacterium. Its description in RNAcentral is "bacterial SSU rRNA". It matches the Rfam family "Bacterial small subunit ribosomal RNA", at positions 55 to 685 of the family's 1533-position model. The record is from RNAcentral.
ACGAAGCUCUGCGAUACAAGACUUCGGUCAAGUUGAACGGAUGACUUAGUGGCGGACGGGUGAGUAACGCGUGAGGAACCUGCCUUUCAGUGGGGGACAACAGUCGGAAACGACUGCUAAUACCGCAUAAUGUAUUCUGACCGCAUGAUCGGAAUACCAAAGAUUUAUUGCUGAAAGAUGGCCUCGCGUCUGAUUAGAUAGUUGGUGAGGUAACGGCCCACCAAGUCGACGAUCAGUAGCCGGACUGAGAGGUUGAACGGCCACAUUGGGACUGAGAUACGGCCCAGACUCCUACGGGAGGCAGCAGUGGGGAAUAUUGGGCAAUGGGGGAAACCCUGACCCAGCAACGCCGCGUGAAGGAAGAAGGCUUUCGGGUUGUAAACUUCUUUUACCAGGGACGAAGGACGUGACGGUACCUGGAGAAAAAGCCACGGCUAACUACGUGCCAGCAGCCGCGGUAAUACGUAGGUGGCAAGCGUUGUCCGGAUUUACUGGGUGUAAAGGGCGUGUAGGCGGAGAAGCAAGUCAGAAGUGAAAUCCAUGGGCUUAACCCAUGAACUGCUUUUGAAACUGUUUCCCUUGAGUAUCGGAGAGGCAGGCGGAAUUCCUAGUGUAGCGGUGAA